This 164-nucleotide ribosomal RNA is filed under the name uncultured bacterium. RNAcentral describes it as "partial 16S rRNA". It matches the Rfam family "Bacterial small subunit ribosomal RNA", at positions 355 to 511 of the family's 1533-position model. The record is from RNAcentral.
UAGGGAAUCUUCCACAAUGGGCGAAAGCCUGAUGGAGCAACGCCGCGUGUGUGAUGAAGGCUUUCGGGUCGUAAAGCACUGUUGUAUGGGAAGAACAGCUAGAAUAGGAAAUGGUUUUAGUUUGACGGUACCAUACCAGAAAGGGACGGCUAAAUACGUGACAG